UUCCCGUAGGGGGGACUGCGGAGGGAUCAUUACUGAGUUUACGCUCUACAACCCUUUGUGAACAUACCUACAACUGUUGCUUCGGCGGGUAGGGUCUCCGCGACCCUCCCGGCCUCCCGCCUCCGGGCGGGUCGGCGCCCGCCGGAGGAUAACCAAACUCUGAUUUAACGACGUUUCUUCUGAGUGGUACAAGCAAAUAAUCAAAACUUUUAACAACGGAUCUCUUGGUUCUGGCAUCGAUGAAGAACGCAGCGAAAUGCGAUAAGUAAUGUGAAUUGCAGAAUUCAGUGAAUCAUCGAAUCUUUGAACGCACAUUGCGCCCGCCAGCAUUCUGGCGGGCAUGCCUGUUCGAGCGUCAUUUCAACCCUCAAGCUCUGCUUGGUGUUGGGGCCCUACAGCCGAUGUAGGCCCUCAAAGGUAGUGGCGGACCCUCCCGGAGCCUCCUUUGCGUAGUAACUUUACGUCUCGCACUGGGAUCCGGAGGGACUCUUGCCGUAAAACCCCCCAAUUUUCCAAAGGUUGACCUCGGAUCAGGUAGGAAUACCCGCUGAACUUAAGCAUAUCAU
RNAcentral lists this ribosomal RNA (566 nucleotides) under Colletotrichum sp. XY-3-2-2. Its description in RNAcentral is "eukaryotic LSU rRNA". The stretch from base 205 to 358 matches the Rfam family "5.8S ribosomal RNA". The record is from RNAcentral. Lineage: Eukaryota; Fungi; Ascomycota; Sordariomycetes; Glomerellales; Glomerellaceae.